AUCGUCUUUUUUUUUUCAUCAAAAAAUAAAUAAAUCAAAAGAUCUUCUUAUGCCCAUAAUAUUUCAAUUUCUCCAUGUGUAAAAUAUUUCAACCAAAGAAGAUCUCUUUAUCAUCCACUGGAUAUUGAAAAGACGACUUUGAAUAUGGUCAAAUCGAAGUUGAUUCUACGAACCAAAUACCGAUAAAUAGACAUUUUCUGUAUCCAACUGCACAAAUCAUUUUAAGGUUCAUCGAAACUUUUUCGGAGAUGAAAUACCACCUAAAGCAAGGGAGAAGGGACACAGGUUGGUUUUCUCUGUCGAGGGAGUUUGCGCAAGGUCAGAUUCGUUUGCCAGAUAUAUAUAAGGUCGGGUGAAAGGUUUAUUCGCGUUUAUGUACUGUUGGUCUCACUACAAGCUACUUUUGGAUCCUUAAUACCAAUAUUUGAGCUUGGAUGAAGUAUAAAAGUUCAGUAUUUUUUUCCAGGGACCUACUAUAUAUUCAGUUCAUACAAUUCUCAAUAAGUUUUAAGGUCAGUUUUGUAUAACACCACAGAGGUUGGAGAAAAUGUAAAUUAUCAAUUAUGUGAAUGCUUUGACAAAAGGUCUACAGAUGUUGACAUGAACAAGGAGGUUGUAGAAUUGUGAACAAUUGGAACUCUUGCUUUUGCAAAUAAUUUUUUCUGUUUGAUCGUUGGCAUGUUGAUCUCGAUGAAAGAUUUUCCUAACAACAAUCCACUUAUACAGAUAUCGGAAAUCAUUCUAGGCAAAAUUGAAAAAGCGUGAAUGGAACCGCGACAUGUUGGAUUUUGGGAACAUGAAUACCAACAUAUGCAUCACCUCUUAUAUUCUUUUUCUCCAUGUAUACAAUUUUAGAACUUCUGUUCCAAAGUUUCAAAGAACUUUGUAACGGUAUUGGAAAAGUAUGGGGUAGUAGUC
Molecule: long non-coding RNA, 918 nt
Organism: Papaver somniferum (opium poppy)
Lineage: Eukaryota; Viridiplantae; Streptophyta; Magnoliopsida; Ranunculales; Papaveraceae
Exons: 6
Source: RefSeq, a predicted model, not a curated record